This 1080-nucleotide unclassified non-coding RNA is filed under the name Hevea brasiliensis (rubber tree). The record is from RNAcentral. Lineage: Eukaryota; Viridiplantae; Streptophyta; Magnoliopsida; Malpighiales; Euphorbiaceae.
UUAACAUAAUAAUUAUCUUUGAGCCCAUGAUCUUUCACAUUAUUAAUACUGGUAAAUCAUAAGCAAGUACAAGUGCAAAUUCUUCGGUAGGGUAUAAUUUUACUCGAAUAUACAGAAUAUACUCUUCUUAGCAAGAGUUUUUGUUCAGGUUAACAGGCUUCAGAGAAUUCAUCAGCCCUCCUUGUCAGCUUCAGCACAGAAAUGUAUCAUAAAGAAAAAUAAGCUAAGGCAUAAUUCUCAUAAUACCGCAAUUGCUUGUAGUGGUACUAAAGACUUCGCUGGUAACGCGGAUUAGGAAAAGACACCCCAUCACUAUCUCUGAAUAAUGGUUUAUGUACGUUAAAAUCUGUACUUCCAUGGUUUGUUUGACCCCUAGGUGCAACUUGGUGCAUAGAUGAAUCACCUGGAUUGUUGCAAAGCCCAAGUUUCACAAUGAAUGUAGCAUUGGUACCUUUGUCAAGCCCCUCGCUCUCAAUCCAUAUAUGGCCUCCCAUUAGAUCUACAAACCUUUUACAGAUGGCAAGUCCAAGUCCUGCACCACCAUUAUUUCGGUUAGAUCCACUUCGGGGCUGAGUGAAUUUAGUAAAAAGGAGUGGGAUAUCUUGAGGGAGAACACCACAGCCAGAGUCCUUAACCUACAACAAACAACAUGAUGGGGUGGAUGAAUAACAACCAGACCAAAUUACAAAGAACUGCUAACAAAGCAAUGCAUUUUUCAAAAACUUAAUAUAUAGAUGCAGACAUUAAGACAAGUUAACCAUGAUGAGAUUAUAAGAACAUAAAUAAAACUAGAGCCCGAACAACUGCCACAAAACAAAUAGCAACAACAACAUACUAAGGGAUGCCGUAAAGUAAAUUCCAAUAUUACAAGAAAAGAGAACUGAACUCGACAAUAUGAGCAAAAUUCAAAUGCAUUGGUCAACAACCUGUAUUCGUAGGUAGAAGUGCCCAUCACUUGAAAUCGGGUAAAAUUCAGGAGGUCGCCAAUCUCUUAAAGAAUCUGGUUUUGCAACAGAAACUAUAAUUGAAACAUAGCCCUCCUUUGUGAACUUGACAGCAUUACCUACUACAUUUAAAAUA